Molecule: non-coding RNA, 106 nt
Filed under: Treponema sp.
Lineage: Bacteria; Pseudomonadati; Spirochaetota; Spirochaetia; Treponematales; Treponemataceae
Description: TPP sequence
Rfam family: TPP riboswitch aptamer (THI element)
About the family: Vitamin B(1) in its active form thiamin pyrophosphate (TPP) is an essential coenzyme that is synthesised by coupling of pyrimidine and thiazole moieties in bacteria. The previously detected thiamin-regulatory element, thi box was extended, resulting in a new, highly conserved RNA secondary structure, the THI element, which is widely distributed in eubacteria and also occurs in some archaea. Analysis of operon structures identified a large number of new candidate thiamin-regulated genes, mostly transporters, in various prokaryotic organisms.
Source: RNAcentral
UAAAAAAUACAGGGGAGCUUGUGAACAAGCUGAGAGUAAGUUAGUAACUUAGACCCUUUUACCUGAUUUGGAUAAUGCCAACGUAGGAAGUCAUUUAACUUGCUUA